UCUCCCCAAGCCGAUUACAUCAGAACCUCCGGGGGAAGCCUGCAGGCAUCCGUGCCAGGCAACAGCUCCCCAGAGGCGUCUGGAGGGCAGCCAGAGCAGAGAGGCACCCUUGGCUUGUUUACAGCUGCCGACUGUGUCCCGGGCACCUGUGAGCAACAGUGACAGAGGCGUCAGCCAGGAGAGCCCGCCCUCACCAUCCACAGAGACCUACGCAAAAGAAAAUCAUGGGUCCGUCAGGGACCACGCACCCAUGGGGAGGCAGGUCACUCAUCUUGAGAAGCAGAUGUUUUUAAAGGGGGGAGAGGAUUCCGGCUGAUGACCUUCAGGGAACCGCGUUUCGCUGUCACGCCGUCAACACACAUUCAGACCAUUGCCGAGGCCUGGUUCUGCUCAUGAGGACGUAAGCAGCAUUUUCCUCCUUCCUCUAAGUGCGGCCUUUCCCCACUGGCCUUGAACUCCAGAAACGGGACAGACAGGCUUCCGCUCUUGAGAAGAGCACCGCCAUGCAUCUUGGUGACAUCUGCUCCUCGGGAGUAGCAGCGAGCUUCACGAGACCAGCAGUGACCUUCGGAGACAUUUGAAGAGAAUGAAGAUUGAGGAGAAAAUGUUCACAAAGUAGCCCAUCUCUAACUUGUGAAUGUUGUGAAAAUGCGAGGGGUUUCCAGACCAAACUCAAGUGAAGCCACAUUUUGGAGUCAAAAGAAACCGGGACCCGGAAAACCUAAAUUCCAGUUUCUUCGCCGCCCGUAACUGAGUGGCUGGAGGAGGUCAGUGUCUCUAUUCUCUUAUCUACAAAGUGAAGUCCUCAGAUGAAGUGGACAAACCUACAAUUUUUGCCUCCAGCUGGAAAGUUCUCCUAUUUCAAAUAAAUUUCAAAAUCGCUGAG
Molecule: long non-coding RNA, 886 nt
Organism: Phacochoerus africanus (Common warthog)
Lineage: Eukaryota; Metazoa; Chordata; Mammalia; Artiodactyla; Suidae
Exons: 4
Source: RefSeq, a predicted model, not a curated record